GUUGGCACUUCGUCGUUUACGACGACGAUGAUUCCAGUUGAUCGGAUCAACAGAACAGACUACUCGUGGAAUUAGCGUGCAAGAGGCUGAGGACUUCAAAUUACGUGCACCCUUAACGUAGUUCUCGGGGAAAUUCAGAAAUCGGAAGA
Long non-coding RNA from Octopus sinensis (East Asian common octopus), 149 nucleotides. RefSeq lists it as uncharacterized. The transcript is spliced from 4 exons. The record is from RefSeq and is a predicted model, not a curated record. NCBI's taxonomy places the organism in Eukaryota, Metazoa, Mollusca, Cephalopoda, Octopoda, Octopodidae.